This 502-nucleotide antisense RNA is filed under the name Streptomyces rubellomurinus. RNAcentral's name for it is "Saccharopolyspora sRNA 350". It matches the Rfam family "Saccharopolyspora sRNA 350". Lineage: Bacteria; Bacillati; Actinomycetota; Actinomycetes; Kitasatosporales; Streptomycetaceae. The record is from Rfam by way of RNAcentral.
UGUACGGCCAGUUGCCGGACGCCUCGGUCAACGCCUCGUCGCCGAUGUGGUCGCCAUCGGCCAGGGUGCCGACCACCGUCUCCUCGCCGUACUUGCCGGUGCCGAGGCGCUCGACCUUGCCGUGCGCGAUCAGGAACACCUCGCUGAUCGGCUCGCCCUCGCGCACCAGCAGGUCGCCCGGGGCGAAGUCCCGCUGCACGAACCGGCGGGCCAGCUCCUCCAGCACCGCCUCGUCCCCGAAACCGCGCAGCGCGGGCACCUCGGUCAGCGACGGGGCGAUCACGCUCACCGAGGUGCCGGUCUUGGCGAAGCCCACCCGGCCGCGCCCGGUGGCGUAGCUGAGCCGCCGGUUGACCCGGUACGUCCCCGCGCUGACCUGCACCCAGGGCAGCAUCUUGAGCAGCCAACGGGAGGUGAUCUCCUGCAUCUGCGGCGCCGACUUGGUCGUCGUCGCCAGGUUCCGCGCCGCCGCCGUGCUGAGGCUCAGCUGCGCCCGCACCUG